UCCUCUGGAGGAGCAUAGUAUGUUUCUGGGAAUGGGCUGAUUUGUUUUUGUAUUCCUUUAAUAAGUAUAGUUGCGACUUCUCAUAUGACCAUUAAGUAUGAAGGAAAAAACAUGACUUUCCCAAUUAAUGCAGCUACUUCUAAAGAAUAAAUCUGUUUGCUCUAAAUGCAAUGAUUCAGCUGUGGAAUGUAAAUUGUUAUUGUUUAAUGAACACCCCCCUGUAGGAAAAACAGCCAAGGAAGUUUUUGAGAAAUUAAAUUAAAAUCUAGAAAAGAAGAAUUAAUGUUAAGAAGACAGAUUAGCGCUUAGUACUGGGCAACUUGUUCUUGUUCCUGUGCACAAUGGUUUGUGCUCUUACUCUUGUUUGAUUAAAAUUAGUAGCCUCUCUUUUCAAGUUAACCACUUGCCAUAACCGUGGCGCCGAUUCUAGUCAGUAAGCCAAGAAAGAAUAGUCAAG
Molecule: long non-coding RNA, 457 nt
Filed under: Marmota monax (woodchuck)
Lineage: Eukaryota; Metazoa; Chordata; Mammalia; Rodentia; Sciuridae
Source: RNAcentral